GGUUAUUCGGCAUCCUCAUCUGCUAGGUUAAAGUUGUACAUGAUUUUAGCAAGUACUUGUGUCAGAUAGUGUUUGGCAGGAGUCCCUUUUUUUGUGGUUUAGUUGGUUAGAAUUUGUAUGUCAAUUCAAGGAUAAGUAUUUACUCUAGUAAUUCUCGAAAGUAUCAUCUUUGCAGGGCAAAAUGUUAGAUCAAUUGAUUUG
Molecule: unclassified non-coding RNA, 201 nt
Filed under: Hevea brasiliensis (rubber tree)
Lineage: Eukaryota; Viridiplantae; Streptophyta; Magnoliopsida; Malpighiales; Euphorbiaceae
Source: RNAcentral